GUAUUAGCAGUGAUGAAGCAAAUGAAUUGUGGACUAGAGUUUCUGAUCUUGUAUUUGAAGACUAACCCUUGGCUGUCUGAGCAC
This is a small nucleolar RNA of Mercurialis annua (annual mercury), 84 nucleotides long. RefSeq annotates it as small nucleolar RNA Z157/R69/R10. Lineage: Eukaryota; Viridiplantae; Streptophyta; Magnoliopsida; Malpighiales; Euphorbiaceae. The transcript has a single exon. The record is from RefSeq and is a predicted model, not a curated record.